RNAcentral lists this ribosomal RNA (440 nucleotides) under uncultured bacterium. RNAcentral describes it as "bacterial SSU rRNA". It matches the Rfam family "Bacterial small subunit ribosomal RNA", at positions 338 to 769 of the family's 1533-position model. The record is from RNAcentral.
CCUACGGGGGGCUGCAGUCGAGAAUCUUCCGCAAUGGGGGAAACCCUGACGGAGCGACGCCGCGUGCAGGAUGAAGGCCUUCGGGUUGUAAACUGCUGUCAGCUGGGAAGAAAAAGUCGGUGGAAAACAUUCACCGGCUCUGACGGUACCAGCAGAGGAAGCCACGGCUAACUCUGUGCCAGCAGCCGCGGUAAUACAGAGGUGGCAAGCGUUGUUCGGAUUCAUUGGGCGUAAAGGGUCCGUAGGCGGGUUGGAAAGUCGGGUGUGAAAUCCUACAGCUUAACUGUAGAAUUGCACUCGAAACUCCCAGCCUCGAGUGUGAGAGGGGUGAAGGGAAUUCCCGGUGUAAGGGUGAAAUCUGCAGAGAUCGGGAAGAACACCAGUCGCGAAGGCGCUUCACUGGCUCAUUACUGACGCUGAGGGACGAAAGCUAGGGGAGC